GAUGGGUGGUCUUCCCUGAGGACGGAGGAGAGGCGCCAUGGCGGCUGCGGGCCCGCGCGUGGGGCUGACUGGUCUGCGGGAGGAAGACGUUCCCCGCCCGCGCCCCGGCCGCUGAAAAGGGGCUGUGCGCCCUCCUCGAGGCUCCGCGCCUUCCUUUCCCGCCGCCCCGCGCGGUGUAUCCCCACCUUCUCAGAUUUAUCUGCUUGAUUUUCGGAUUGUCCCUGCAUAAGGAUGCAGAGGAGGGCAGGUGGUGGCAGAGUUCCUGAUAAUGAAACAACAGAGUAUCUGAUUGACUGAAGAUGUUGAAGGAGGGUUUUGGGAUGCAGAAUUUUCUAAAUCCACCUGGAAGUCUGGGAACUUCUCCCUCUAGCCACAAGACCCUAUCCCACACCCUGCAACAAGCAAUCUGGAAAACCAGACUCCAACCUCUGCAACAAUAGGCCCCAAGGGUCAGGACUUGGUCAGUGACUCACAGCUUCGUCAUUUUCAGUCUUUUCCAUGUAGAACUAAAUGCAGGGAAAGCCAAAUAUGUUCCCCUAAGUAAUCACUUAGGACGCCCCUCUUCCUAACAGCUUGUCUCCAGCCUCCCACAUCACAAGCUCUGGGCAGGACAUGCCUUCCUUUUUUUGCCACCAGAAAGUGUCCCCACUCUUAUGUGUGCCCUGAGUCUCAGCCUGAUGUGAGUGGUGGUGGCUGACUCCCGUGCUCUAUAGAUAAGUUCUGAGUAAAUAGUGCUUGUUCUCAUUUGGGGGGGUGUCUUCUUUCAUAUCUACAGAGCUUACU
This is a long non-coding RNA of Eubalaena glacialis (North Atlantic right whale), 783 nucleotides long. RefSeq lists it as uncharacterized. The record is from RefSeq and is a predicted model, not a curated record. The transcript has 3 exons. Lineage: Eukaryota; Metazoa; Chordata; Mammalia; Artiodactyla; Balaenidae.